AUGGCAGUGACAGGGGGACCAUUGGUGAACAUCUGCCCCUUUGCAGAUGGGAAUGGAGACUUUCCCCAGCUGUAUGAAUCUGGGCUUCAUGAUUCACAGGCACAUGCUCGUGGUGGGGCAGGCAGAGGUGGACAGCUUGGGGACAAGCCAGCCUGCGUGGGACAUUAUCCAUUAUACACGCUCAGAGAACAUCUUGUGAGCCAGAGGGAGAACCAGCCACAGCAGUUCGGGGCCAGCAUCCCUGGUGAGGGUGAUGGAUAUUUGGGCCCUUUGUUUGCGCUGGCUGUUAACACCAGAGGAGAUGAGGGAUGGAAGCAGUUGAAAUGUGUAUCUACUUUGGCCGUCGGAAAGUGUGACGGAUGCGCCGGCAGACCAAUGGCUGAGGAUGCUGGGCUGUGCGUGGGUGUGAAAGGAAUGCUCGCUGCAAGAAAAGAUAAAAAAAAAGAAAAAAGAGCCUUAUCAAUGGUGUUUGAGUCCAAAGUGUGUGUAUUCCUUGGAGAAAGGGUUUCCUCAAUCCCCAGGGAUAAUGUUUUCCCUGCAAUGUGAAACUUUGAGGUUUCUGAAGCUUCAUUUUAGGGGCACUGGCACUGGGCUGGUGCUGCAGGCAUGGAUUUAACCCGACAAAGUGCUCAUGCAGGGGCACAAGCGUGGCCAGUGGCCAGAGGUGACUGUCGUCAGCUCCUCAAGGGAACCUCCUGGGAAAUGCGUUUUAUUUUUGCAGAGAUGCUUAUAAGGCAAAGGGGAGGAAAAAAAUAAGGCCCCACCUCAGUGCUGAGCUGCACAUCCCAGGCAGGAGCAGUGUCACUGCAAUGCUGGCAGCUCUCUCCGGGGUUCAUCCCCAUCCCACGCCGAUGAGUGGAAAGAUGCUGCUCCAGAGCUGAGCAGGAAGGUGGAUAUGAGGGGUCUUCUCCAGCUGCUGGCUUCUCCCUCUUCUGCAGACCCCUGGGGUUUGGGGGGCUCCAUGCACCCAGUUCUGAGCCCCACUCUCUUGAGGGGGCUGACAGAUAUUUCCAUGCGUCCCAGGAGGCAAACGUUCCAGCGGGAAGGAAGGAGGGAAGGGCUGGGACAUCCUGGGGGGUGCAGGAGGGGAGACCAGCCCUGGGAAACUCCUUGUCCAGCAGUGGAAGGGCUGGAGCUGUUUGGUUCCCAGCAAGCUGCCCUGGCCCCAGCCCUGCAGGAUCUCUCUUCAGCUUUGAAGUGGUGAUACUUUAAUUAAUAAAAGAAGUUAUUGUGACGAGGUGUUCUUCCCU
RNAcentral lists this long non-coding RNA (1250 nucleotides) under Parus major (Great Tit). Its description in RNAcentral is "lncRNA (ENSPMJG00000012379.1)". Lineage: Eukaryota; Metazoa; Chordata; Aves; Passeriformes; Paridae. The record is from RNAcentral.